UCGGCCCGCCUUGGCCCUCCAAAGUGCUGGGAUUACAGGCUUGAGCCACUGCGUCUAGCCCAACCUGUGGGAUUUUCUAUGGAGACAAUCAGGAGUUUUGGAGAUGGGUCUCGGCUGUGUUACCUAAGCUGGAGUGCAGUGGCUAUUCCCAGCACAAUCAUAGUGCACUACAGUCUCCAACUCCUGGGUUCAGGUGCUCCUUGUGCCUCCGCCUCCUGAAUAGCUGGGAUUGCAGGCAUGUGCCAUCAUGCCUGGCUAUGUGCCUUCAAAAAGACUACAGUUGUGGAUGGAGUGUUUUAUCAAUAUUAGUUGGUUUAUGAUUGUGUUUAGUUCCAUAUCCUAGCUGAUUUUCUAUCUGUUCUGUCCAUUCUUG
Molecule: long non-coding RNA, 373 nt
Filed under: Homo sapiens (human)
Lineage: Eukaryota; Metazoa; Chordata; Mammalia; Primates; Hominidae
Description: non-protein coding lnc-KCTD7-1:4
Source: RNAcentral